GUCGCCUACAGGAAGACGCGGUUUCCUCAGCUUUCGGAAAAGAUGGGACAAAGCGGGAUUCCUGUCGGCGACCUC
MicroRNA precursor from Oreochromis aureus, 75 nucleotides. The record is from Ensembl. Lineage: Eukaryota; Metazoa; Chordata; Actinopteri; Cichliformes; Cichlidae.